CGGACGGGUGAGUAAUGUCUGGGAAACUGCCUGAUGGAGGGGGAUAACUACUGGAAACGGUAGCUAAUACCGCAUAACGUCGCAAGACCAAAGAGGGGGACCUUCGGGCCUCUUGCCAUCAGAUGAACCCAUAUGGGAUUAGCUAGUAGGUAAGGUAACGGCUUACCUAGGCGACGAUCCCUAGCUGGUCUGAGAGGAUGACCAGCCACACUGGAACUGAGACACGGUCCAG
RNAcentral lists this ribosomal RNA (232 nucleotides) under uncultured bacterium. RNAcentral's name for it is "partial 16S ribosomal RNA". It matches the Rfam family "Bacterial small subunit ribosomal RNA", at positions 99 to 334 of the family's 1533-position model. The record is from RNAcentral.